RNAcentral lists this ribosomal RNA (527 nucleotides) under uncultured Actinomyces sp. RNAcentral describes it as "partial 16S ribosomal RNA". Lineage: Bacteria; Bacillati; Actinomycetota; Actinomycetes; Actinomycetales; Actinomycetaceae. The record is from RNAcentral.
CACGUAGUUAGCCGGCGCUUCAUACCCGGCUACCGUCAACCCCGCCGCAACGGACAGGGGCCUUCACCACCGGAGAAAGAGGUUCACAACCCGAAGGCCUCCAUCCCUCACGCGACGUCGCUGCAUCAGGCUUCCGCCCAUUGUGCAAUACCCCCCACUGCUGCCUCCCGCAGGAGUCUGGGCCGUGUCUCAGUCCCAGUGUGGCCGCCCACCCUCUCAGGCCGGCUACCCGUCACCGCCUUGGUGGGCCAUCACCCCACCAACAAGCUGAUAGGCCGCGAGCCCAUCCCCCACCGAAACACCCGAAGAUGAAACUAUCCCGACCAGGCCCAUGCGGACCAGCCGGCACACCCCGUAUUAGCCGCCCUUUCAAGCAGUUAUCCCAGGAGCAGGGGCAGGUUACUCACGUGAUACUCACCCGUUCGCCACUCAACCCACCCCAAAAAACAGGGACGGCCCGUUCGACUUGCAUCGUGUUAAGCACGCCGCCAGCGUUCGUCCUCGUAGCCGACGGAGUCAAACUACUA